CGUAAGGCGCCGAAUGAGUCAUUAAAAAAUUAACAUCAUCCGAUCCCCUAGUCGGCAUAGUUUAUGGUUAAGACUACGACGGUAUCUGAUCGUCUUCGAUCCCCUAACUUUCGUUCUUGAUUAAUGAAAACAUCCUUGGCAAAAUGCUUUCGCAGUAGUCAGUCUUCAAUAAAUCCAAAGAAUUUCACCUCUGACAAUUGAAUACUAAUGCCCCCAAUAUCCCUAUUAAUCAUUACGUCAAUCCUAGAAACCAACAAAAUAGGAUCGAACGUCCUAUUUCAUUAUUCCAUGCUAAUGUAUUCAAGCG
This 307-nucleotide ribosomal RNA is filed under the name uncultured Glomus. RNAcentral's name for it is "partial 18S ribosomal RNA". The record is from RNAcentral. Lineage: Eukaryota; Fungi; Glomeromycota; Glomeromycetes; Glomerales; Glomeraceae.